Molecule: non-coding RNA, 93 nt
Filed under: human gut metagenome
Description: THF riboswitch
Rfam family: THF (Tetrahydrofolate) riboswitch aptamer
About the family: THF riboswitch presents a pseudoknot that joins P1-P2 and the loop of P3 and two THF binding.
Source: RNAcentral
AGAGUAAGAAUACAGGCGUUAAGUGCCUGUCGGACGGGGAGUUGCCGAUGGGACGAAAAGCGGAGGCUUGCGGCUUGUGUUCUGCAUCCCGCU